ACGGGAGGCAGCAGCUAAGAAUAUUCCGCAAUGGGCGAAAGCCUGACCCAGCGACGCCGCGUGAGGGAAGACGGUCUUCGGAUUGUAAACCUCUUUCAGCAGGGAAGAAGAAAGUGACGGUACCUGCAGAAGAAGUCACGGCUAACUACGUGCCAGCAGCCGCGGUAAUACGUAGGUGGCGAGCGUUAUCCGGAAUUACUGGGUGUAAAGGGUGUGUAGGCGGGGAAGCAAGUCAGGUGUGAAAAUUUUGGGCUCAACCCAGGACGUGCACUUGAAACUGUUUUUCUUGAGAGUGGGAGAGGUAAACGGAAUUCCUGGUGUAGUAGUGAAAUGCGUAGAUAUCAGGAGGAACACCGGUGGCGAAGGCGGUUUACUGGACCACAACUGACGCUGAGACACGAAAGCGUGGGGAGCAAACAGGAUUAGAUACCCUGGUA
This 437-nucleotide ribosomal RNA is filed under the name uncultured Oscillospiraceae bacterium. RNAcentral's name for it is "partial 16S ribosomal RNA". It matches the Rfam family "Bacterial small subunit ribosomal RNA", at positions 341 to 792 of the family's 1533-position model. The record is from RNAcentral. Lineage: Bacteria; Bacillati; Bacillota; Clostridia; Eubacteriales; Oscillospiraceae.